UGACAUCACUGCCUUGGGGGAAGUUGCUCAGCGGCUCUGCUCCUCAGCGCCCUCAUCUGUAAGGUGGGAAUGAUGGCAGUCCUACUGGUGCUGGUGGUGUGAAGCCUACCUGAGUUGACCCGUAAAAGCUCUCUGAACGCUAAGCACCCACAAGGUGUGGCCGGUACAGUCAUUUGCUGUGAGGGAGUCAACUGACAGGGUCAGAGGGCUGGGCCUCAUAAACGUGGGUAAAUUCAAGUAAUCUGGGGAGAGCAAAUAUGUUAAAUCGCCCUCUAGCGAGGAUCUGGAGAACUGCAGCCGUUGAGGACCACCUUCUGAUUCUUGGGCAUCCGGGCAGUGGUGCUGGGUCCGUUGAGUUGUAUAUCCCAUGCUUCAUUUCCCUCCUGGGUUUGGCUAGCUUUAUGGAGAAACAGGAGGAUUUCAAAUGUAAAGGCAACAAAAAAUAGUACAUGGCCCAUGCUCCAGCACAGGUGAGAGCUUAUGCCUUCUGCCUUGUGAAGUUGCCUGUGGAGGGAAGACUUUGGAAAAGAUGCCUUUUGUAGAAGGCAUACCAAGAAGCUGUGGCUCCAGGAACGUGGAAGGUGUGCGGCCAGACCCACGCAUACUGCAACCCAUCUCUAUCGUCUCCAUCUUGGCCACCUUUCUGCAUCCACAGUCCAGCCCAGUUGAGGGUCCUUGAAGGUCUCAGCCAGAAGGACCUAGAGUGGGUAGAGGAAAUGUCUUCCUCCCCUACAAGAACAUACAUGAAGAUGAAGGCUUGGGAAGUAAGGGCAUAAGAUGCAAACUUGGUGGCUCCUGGUACUGUCUCAGAGAGCGUGUUUUGCACUUGGGAACAUCACAAAGCCUUGAUACGGAAAGCACCGCAAGGUGAGGAUCUCGGCUUUUCCCUCGGCAGCGACUUCAACGCCCAACAAAGUGUAAAAAGCAUAUUUUACUCAUGCAAACGUACAUGUGAGACCACUGGGGGAAAG
Molecule: long non-coding RNA, 971 nt
Filed under: Equus caballus (horse)
Lineage: Eukaryota; Metazoa; Chordata; Mammalia; Perissodactyla; Equidae
Description: lncRNA (ENSECAG00000031016.2)
Source: RNAcentral